This 1033-nucleotide ribosomal RNA is filed under the name Nycteridopsylla sakagutii. Its description in RNAcentral is "SSU rRNA". It matches the Rfam family "Eukaryotic small subunit ribosomal RNA", at positions 24 to 1003 of the family's 1831-position model. Lineage: Eukaryota; Metazoa; Arthropoda; Insecta; Siphonaptera; Ischnopsyllidae. The record is from RNAcentral.
UUAUAUGCUUGUCUCAAAGAUUAAGCCAUGCAUGUCUCAGUGCAAGCCACAUUAAGGUGAAACCGCGAAUGGCUCAUUACAUCAGUUAUGGUUCCUUAGAUCGUACCCACAUUACUUGGAUAACUGUGGUAAUUCUAGAGCUAAUACAUGCAAAUAGAGUUCCGACCAGAGAUGGGAGGAAUGCUUUUAUUAGAUCAAAACCAAUCGGUGGCGGGCUUGCCUUGCUUACCGUUUGACUUGGUGACUCUGAAUAACUUUGUGCUGAUCGCACGGUCUCGUACCGGCGACGCAUCUUUCAAAUGUCUGCCUUAUCAACUGUCGAUGGUAGUUUCUGCGACUACCAUGGUUGUUACGGGUAACGGGGAAUCAGGGUUCGAUUCCGGAGAGGGAGCCUGAGAAACGGCUACCACAUCCAAGGAAGGCAGCAGGCGCGCAAAUUACCCACUCCCGGCACGGGGAGGUAGUGACGAAAAAUAACGAUACGGGACUCAUCCGAGGCCCCGUAAUCGGAAUGAGUACACUUUAAAUCCUUUAACGAUUAACAAUUGGAGGGAAAGCCUGGUGCCAGCAGCCGCGGUAAUUCCAGCUCCAAUAGCGUAUAUUAAAGUUGUUGCGGUUAAAAAGCUCGUAGUUGAAUCUGUGUCCCACACUGUCGGUUCACCGCUCGCGGUGUUCAACUGGCAUGUUCGUGGGACGUCCUACCGGUGGGCGCAGCCCCUCAAAAGGCGGCCCAACUCAAAAUCCUACCACGGUGCUCUUCACCGAGUGUCGAGGUGGGCCGGUACGUUUACUUUGAACAAAUUAGAGUGCUUAAAGCAGGCUCAUUUGCCUGAAUAUUGUGUGCAUGGAAUAAUGGAAUAGGACCUCGGUUCUAUUUUGUUGGUUUUCGGAACUCCGAGGUAAUGAUUAAUAGGGACAACUGGGGGCAUUCGUAUUGCGACGUUAGAGGUGAAAUUCUUGGAUCGUCGCAAGACGGACAGAAGCGAAAGAAAUGUGUUUUCAUCAAUCAAGAACGAAAGUUAGAGGUUCGAAG